UGAACGCUGGCGGCGUGCCUAAUACAUGCAAGUCGAGCGACCAGACGAGGAGCUUGCUCCUCUGACGUUAGCGGCGGACGGGUGAGUAACAAGUGGAUAACCUACCUAUAAGACUGGGAUAACUUCGGGAAACCGGAGCUAAUACCGGAUAAUAUAUUGAACCGCAUGGUUCAAUAGUGAAAGACGGUUUUGCUGUCACUUAUAGAUGGAUCCGCGCCGCAUUAGCUAGUUGGUAAGGUAACGGCUUACCAAGGCGACGAUGCGUAGCCGACCUGAGAGGGUGAUCGGCCACACUGGAACUGAGACACGGUCCAGACUCCUACGGGAGGCAGCAGUAGGGAAUCUUCCGCAAUGGGCGAAAGCCUGACGGAGCAACGCCGCGUGAGUGAUGAAGGUCUUCGGAUCGUAAAACUCUGUUAUUAGGGAAGAACAAAUGUGUAAGUAACUAUGCACGUCUUGACGGUACCUAAUCAGAAAGCCACGGCUAACUACGUG
This 495-nucleotide ribosomal RNA is filed under the name uncultured bacterium. Its description in RNAcentral is "partial 16S ribosomal RNA". It matches the Rfam family "Bacterial small subunit ribosomal RNA", at positions 30 to 507 of the family's 1533-position model. The record is from RNAcentral.